Molecule: non-coding RNA, 6207 nt
Organism: Equus caballus (horse)
Lineage: Eukaryota; Metazoa; Chordata; Mammalia; Perissodactyla; Equidae
Source: RefSeq, a predicted model, not a curated record
UACUUUAGUCAAGAUUUAUCACAACGAUAGCUAGUUUCCUGGAAAUGAGGUUGCCAAACAAACUGCAGGACUCCGGUUAAAUUUGAAUUUCAAAUAACAAAUAAUUUUUUAGUAUAAGUAGUCCAAUGUAAUAUUUCAAACAUAGUUAUUUUAAAAUUUUUCUUCGUCUGAAAUUCAAACUGAACUCAGUGUUUUGUAUUUUGAUUUGCUAAGUCUAGGAACCCCCCUCAGGAGACCUUUAAAUCUCAUCACCGUGGGUUGAUGACGGUGAUAAGCUAGCAUCCUGAAGGGGGAGUGGAGAGGAGAGCACCACCCUCCUACUUUCUAGCAGAAAGAUUCAGGCUGUCUGGACCUGAUAGGUCCUUCCUUCUGGGGCAGCCUCUGUCUUCCCCACUCUGCUCAGCUCUGAGCACUUCAAACUGACCAUUGGUUCAAACUCACCAGCACAUUGCUGAAAUUGGACUUGCUGUCCUAAAGUUGGUACUUUCCAUGACUGGGGUAAGCUGGGAUCUGACAAACCUGCCAAGCCUCGUUCUUGCCUUUAGCCCCACCAUGUUUGUUUGUCAGUAGAACUGAGCUUCUGCCUUGGUUUCUGCCUGUACUUAUGGUCCUGAACUUUAAACCAUUCAGUUGUGGUUUUGACAUCUUGCCUAGACCUUACCAUUUCCCUCUUUUCAGGGAUUCCACUCAGCCCAUGCCUAGGGUGUGUCUCCAAACCCAACACAUCACCUGGGACCACAUGCUGACGCCAUGCCUCACCAUCUUGUAGAAGAGGGGUUGCCAAACACUUUCUGUAAAGUGCCAUAAAGAAAAUAUUUUUGGCUUUGUAAACCCUACAGUCUCUGUCACAAUGACUCAAUUGUGCCAUCGGAGCAUGAACAGACAUGUGUCCCAGUAAAACUUUAUUUACAAAAACAAGUCAUGGGUCAGACUUGGCCCACAGACCAUAAUUUGCUGACCCUUGUUCUAGAAAAUCCUGUGAUCUUGCUUUUUCUGCCCAAAGGGUUCUACUUAGAUAUAUAUGCCGGCCUGUUAGCACAUGGAGCCUUUUCUAAUUGACAGGAUGCUGAAGGCUGCUCCGUGCUCCCAUCAUGGGCCAGUCCUGUUUGACAGUUUCGGUGCCCUAGUCUUGGACCUGGCAGUUCCCAGCUUUUUCUCUUUCUCUCUUCCAGCCUCGGAAGUCCCAGCAGGUCUAGAAGACGAGCACACUCAAGUGAGCCAACAACUGCUUUUGCCUGCACACUGCAGCCAGGAUCCACCUUCUUUCUUUCCAUAAACACUAUCUUAGUUCAAGGCUUAUUUGCCAAUGCUUUGGACUGGUUCUGUCUCCUGUUUGGACUUCUGCCUGAGGAAGCCUCAGCUGCCUAUCACCGCUGCCUAAUACACUUCCAACUGGAUUUGAUGCCCCGUCCUGCUCUCUCAGGAAUCCAGCGCCAUGUUGGAACAGGUCAUGCUCUUCCCACUUGGGAGCCUUAGCCCAUGCCAGAGUCGCCUCCCCUCUCCUCCCGUGGCUGUCAGCCCCUCAGAAAGCUCCACGGAGCCUGCAGCAGGCAUCCUCCCUCUGAAGAUUAAAGGCAUCAGCCUAUCCGCUCGACGGCUUAGCCCAGGGCCUGCAGAACUGAACACUCAGGUAACGAUAGUUCUUGGGGUUUUUUUUCCGAUCAUUGUUGCUCUGGUAAAUACUCUAAAACUGCAUGCCUGGGUGACUAGAUAAGUGGCAUAGGGAGGAGGAACAGUGUCAAAUCUGGGCCCUCAGGAGCUUCUAAGAGAGGAAGGUUAGAUACCAUCAGAGGAAAAAAAUCGCGGGGUUGUAAAUCCUCUUCUCUGCCUUCCAAAGAAUGUCAUUACUAUAAUUGUCACACACACACUUACCGUGUGCUUAAUGGAAGCACAGCUUGCAGUAGCAAUGUAAACUAUGCUUUGAAAAAAUGUAAGAGCACCUAAUACAUUUUUUAAAGCAGUGGCUGGACCUGUCUGAUUGAUUUUUCUAAAUAUGUUUCACCCUCACUUACAGUUCCCCAUCAUGCUUCUUUUCUACGACUUAGCAACGAGUACUUAAAACAAAGUUUGUCCCUUUUCGAUUUUCCAGUAUCCUUGCUAACAGUCUUACGUGUUGACUUACAGAGACAUGAAAAGGGGAAAAGAAGUGAAGAACACUUGGGUUGGAAUAACCUAUGAACUGGAUAUUUAGACUUUGUCCUGUUAAGAGCUGCCUUUUAACGGAGAUAAAGGCAACAAUGCGGACACUUCAGGCCCAGCAAGCCGUUAGGCUGGACUCUUCUUUGACAGAAGGUACCCUGGUUUAUGCACAAAGAUAUCCAUCACAGCAUUACUUGCAAUAUCCCAUGUCCAAGGCUGGGGCCUCCCUCAGUGAGUUACAGAACUUGAUGAAAGAUUAUAGAGCCAUUCAAAUAAUACUGGCAAAGACAUUUUAAAACACGAGGAAAGCCUUAUGUUAUAACGUUAGGUGGAUAAGGAGGCCUAUGGGGGACAUGCAUUAAGACCUGUCGUUGUACCUACUACAGCUGAGAAACGCUCACCGUAUUUCAGGCAUCAUUCUCCAGCGAGAGCAGGUGGGGCGGGCUCGGAAAGGAGUCAGGGCCGGCACGGUGCCAUUGGCCCCUUCCCUUCCUCCCAACCUAAGAGCCAGGAUUGGAAACAUACCCAAAUAUUAAUACUGUACACCUUUGCAGGCUUUUCUUCUUUGUUCCUCUGUAUUUUUCAAAUGUCCUAACACUUUUUUAAAAAUGCUUUUGUUUUCCUUUAAACUUUCCCCAGAAACUUCUAAAAGGCAGCUGCUGUGGUCUCACAUCUCCCUUCUCCCCGCAAAUGUGUAAAUAAAGAAACACCCCUUUGCCUUUCAUUCAUGGCAGGCUGAACUCGCCCUGUAAGUGGAUACUCUGACCAGACGUCUGUGGGUGGGUCGGGUGUUGUGUUUUCUGUUGUAGCUUCUUUUGGCUGAUAAACUAGCACUUAAGUGUUUCCCUUUUCCAAACCCCAAAUGACAAGUGUCUUUGUGGUGAGGUGGCAGCCCAACCUCAUCGUGAACACGAACGGUGCUGGGACUUAUUUUUGGUUUGCUGUCUAAGCAGGAGCUGGGCUGAGUGGCCAGGGCUUUUGGGGCCGAAAUGGCUGGACUCAGAGCGUGGACCUAGAAGGAGAAAGCAAGGCAAAGCAAGCAGACGUCCUGGGGAGGUCGGAGCACCUGGUCCAGGUGGGCCAGAAGGAAAGGCAGAGAUCUUCUCUUAGCCAGAACACUGUACUCCACUUUUUACACGGUUAAUUUUACCAAGGAUACUAGAAAACAGAAACACGUUGACCCCGUUCGGGUGAAUGUCACUCCAGGAAGCCUCAGGGAGCUAAUAAUAGCAAAGAGGCUGAUGCUAAGAAGCAGAAACUGUGGUAGACAUCCAUUCUACAGCCUGCUUCCUGUCCCAUCCUCCCUUCUCACAGAGCCUGAAGCAAGGGGUCUCACCUUCUGCUGGUCAAGUAGCUGGCAUGUCACCAAGCUGGGCCAAUUAACCCUGUCCAGAGAAGAGAAAUCCUGGGUGAAGGGAUACUGGGGUCCCCAGCUGAUGGCAGUCCAUUAGUUUCUCCUAUCCACGUAGCUCAGUUUCCUGUCCUGUACAUAGCCAGAUGAUUUACCUCUUUAUUUGGUUCUGUGAGCAACUCUGCUUGUAUAUACUAUGUAUGUGUGUGUGGUAUGACGUGUGUGUAUAUAUUUAUAUUUAUUGUUUUGCUUAAAUUAGCUAAAGUUGGUUUCUUUUGCUUGAAACCAAAGAACUCCCCCUAAAAUGAGAGCCCUGACAUAUUUCUCUGUACAUCUCUGCCUGGCUCUGGACAGAGGGCAAUUUAUCCCCCCCGACUCCAGUCCAACAUAGGAACUGGGAUAUGCUGGGUUUUAUGAAAGCAUUGGUGAUUUUUUCCUCCCUGAAUGUAAGCUCUUCCCUGUGUCCUAAGCAGGGGCAACCAAACAACUCCAGCCUCGACAGGACCCUCAGACAGGAGCGGGGAGUCCGCGUACUACCACUGUGGGACCUGGCUUUACUCAUCCUGGGGUUCUUGUGCUGGAAACCAGGCUCUGGUGUCAACCUCUCAGAGACUAACAACCCCAAACAGAGCGCCUCCGACUCCAUGAUAGAAACGUUGGGCGUCAGAAAGCCAUGUUCUCAGCAGUACGAGGUUCUGUCAAAAGUGGUGCAGUGAGAACACACACCCCAUCAGAUCUGGCUCCUGGAGCAGAGUUACAUGCACAGGCAGCACCGCCUGAGUGGCAGCAGGAUGCCCGUGACACUCCACCACCACCACUGCUAUAGCUGCCGUUACUUUGCACAGCACGGACAAUAUCUCCAGCCUCCACGGUGGUAUAUUUAUUCAUCAAGGCAGCUCUUACUUCCUUUGAUGCAUCUCGUAAUCCAGGAAGGCAGGAGGGGCCGGCAACAUUAGUCGCAUUUUAUGGUUGUGGAAACGGAAGCACCUGCCAGUACUCAUGUUGGAUCUUGUACUAUUAUUACUGAUGAUAACAAUGGUGCUCUUGAUGUCAAAUUAUUGGACUUUUCUCCCAAAAUUGCUUUAGAGCACAACAAAAAAAGUAAUAGUUCAUAUUUAUUGAGUGCUUGCUAUGGGCUUCAGAUUUAUUGAAGUCGAUGCAAUUGUCCUUAUUUUAAAGUUAAAGAAACUGGGGCUCAGAAAGAUGAAGUAAUCUGCCUCCGACCACAUGAUGAGUAACUGCCGGAGUCAGCAUAUGAACCCGAGCGGUCUGACUCCAAACUCAUGCACUGGACUAGAAAGCCACAGGCCUGUUAGCUCUUUUUGAAGAAAACAUCCAUUACAGCAAACUGGCCAGACCCUUAGACUUUGUCCUGUUCUAAUCUGACCCCCAUAUGUCAUCCUUUUCAGUCUGAGUAAACAUCCCAUCCACAUCCACUAGGGCCAGAAGUGGCUCUCCGCUAACACUUUCAGUUCAGAGUGAAAAGGUGGAAGGACUCACAGGAGAAGGUGUCCACGUCCAGUCCACAGGCCCAGACAGCUCAAAGGACUUGGGUAAACACCCAGCUCGAAAAUGCUAACAAAGCUCCGGGCCUGGCUGGUUACCUCCGCCCACGUGUGCCAGGCCAGUGGAAGUAGGAGCGUAGAAGACAUCAAGGAUCUAACAAAUCAAUUCACAAGGAAACCCACCUUGAUUUCCUCCUGCAGAGCGUAUCUCUACCAUUUCCGUCUCCAUGGCGCUGCAGAUGCCAAAAUGUGGCAGGAAACCCAAGAGUCUAGGCCAGCAACACUCUAUUUUCAAAGCAGUGCUUGGGGACCGAGGACGGAAGGCGGCCUGAAGACAAACAGAUUGAAAGUUCGAUAAGACUUGGUAUCAUUCCGAUCACACCCACAGAGCUUUGAAAGGUGCUCUGCUCACAUGGGCAACAGGGGCAAACUGGUGAAUUCAAGAAAGUUGGUCCUGGGCAGCUUCUUCUAUCUUUCAGUGGAAAGUCUCCUCCUGCAGGCACCCGCUGCCCUCAGCCAGCAUCCCUCACCAGGGCUGGGCUCCCAAGGGGCGGCCAUACCACCCCGUCCUCUGGCCAAGCCCCUGGGCUGUUUUUUAUUAAGAAAGGAUCUUAAACUGUAUUUCUUCCAUAGUUGUUCAUUCCUUCAAAGUAUUAGUUUGAUCAAAACAGAUCAGGUAAUUCAUGGUUUAUAUGCCUUUGGGUGAUAACGACUUAGUAAAUUAAUACUCUCAGAGAACUUUUGAAAUUCACCCCAACAAUAACUAAUGGAAUUUUCUGGCACUCUGGAGGCCGGUGUGGUAGGGAUGUCUAGUGAUUGCUUUUAUCCAGCUCUCCUCUCCAUUUACACAGGGUCACGUGACAAUGGCAUGGUGUCACAUAUGGACUGAGGCGUUUGAUUGCCAGUGGGAGAACUUCCAGCUCUUUAUCUGCUGUAAACUGUGGAGACCUUUGUUGAAAAGGGGGUGUCAUAGGAUUAAAGCAGCCUGGAUCCCUGAGGCACCAUGUGAAGGACCGGCUUCCUAGAAAGUCAGCCAGACCUACAAUGCACUUUGGGUGAAAUAGGAAUAAACUUCCUUUCUGUGAACCCACUGACAGCUUUGUGUUUUUUCUUACAGCAGCACAGUCUGGCAUGUCUUGACUGUUAGAGCUAGUGAUUUUCGAUCACCUCAAAUAGUUUGGUCCAUAGUUUGCUUCCUCUGUACUGCUAAGA